Molecule: ribosomal RNA, 440 nt
Filed under: uncultured Alphaproteobacteria bacterium
Lineage: Bacteria; Pseudomonadati; Pseudomonadota; Alphaproteobacteria
Description: bacterial SSU rRNA
Rfam family: Bacterial small subunit ribosomal RNA
Source: RNAcentral
UCGGUUAGUCGGCACGAGCGCACCUCAUCUUCAGUUACUAACAGGUUAUGCUGAGGACUUUGGAGAAACUGCCGUUGGAAAAGCGGAGGAAGGCGAGGAUGACGUCAAGUCCUCAUGGCCCUUAUGGGCUGGGCUACACACGUGCUACAAUGGUAAUUACAAUAGGUCGCGAAAAGGCAACUUUGAGCUAAUCUUCAAAAAUUAUCUUAGUUCAGAUUGUUCUCUGCAACUCGAGAGCAUGAAGUUGGAAUUGCUAGUAAUCGUGGAUCAGCAUGCCACGGUGAAUACGUUCCCGGGUCUUGUACACACCGCCCGUCACACCAUGGGAGUUGGUUUUACCUGAAGCCGAUUUUUAAAUCGUCCACGGUAAGGUCAGCGACUGGGGUGAAGUCGUAACAAGGUAGCCGUAGGGGAACCUGCGGCUGGAACACCUCCUUUCU